RNAcentral lists this ribosomal RNA (253 nucleotides) under uncultured bacterium. Its description in RNAcentral is "partial 16S ribosomal RNA". It matches the Rfam family "Bacterial small subunit ribosomal RNA", at positions 524 to 776 of the family's 1533-position model. The record is from RNAcentral.
UACGUAGGGUGCAAGCGUUGUCCGGAAUUAUUGGGCGUAAAGAGCUCGUAGGCGGUUUGUCGCGUCUGCUGUGAAAACCCGGGGCUCAACUCCGGGCCUGCAGUCGAUACGGGCUGGCUUGAGUGCGGUAGGGGAGACUGGAAUUCCUGGUGUAGCGGUGAAAUGCGCAGAUAUCAGGAGGAACACCGGUGGCGAAGGCGGGUCUCUGGGCCGUAACUGACGCUGAGGAGCGAAAGCGUGGGGAGCGAACAGG